CGACCAGUUACUACCAUGAGGAGGCACAAUACAAUACACAAAUCAUCCAUAGAGAGCUCUACCAAACCCCCCAGCCCUGGGAAAGAAGUAUGAAAAAUACUAGGAGCCCCUAACCUACAACCCUGAUACUAGACCUCCAGACUCUCCUAUCAAGGUCCACGUCCUCGGAAAUUUGCAUUCUAGCCAUGUCCUGCCUGAUCACCUCUCCCCCAAUACCUCUUGGGCCUCCCUCUGCCUUAACUCGCGCCAAACACCGCCAGCCAAAGGGUCAAUGUCCUCGGAAAUCCGCAUUCAGCCAUGUCUUGCAUGAUCACCUCUUCCCAAUAUCUCUUGG
RNAcentral lists this long non-coding RNA (334 nucleotides) under Nicotiana benthamiana. RNAcentral's name for it is "long non-coding RNA (NBEN_LNC008491)". Lineage: Eukaryota; Viridiplantae; Streptophyta; Magnoliopsida; Solanales; Solanaceae. The record is from RNAcentral.